CUUGCUCUUUUAACCGGGAAAGAGCGGUUCAAGUCUUUGCAUAGAAUAAGUUCUCUUGGAACUACUUUUUUCGUCUCCCACGAACACACUAGAUUCUCAAGAUGACUGAUUGGUCCGCCGACCCAGAGUUCCAGUAUCUGGCCGUAGACCGGAAGAAGCUUAUGAGAGAGCAGACCCAGCCUUUUGAUGGCAAAAAGUCCUGCUGGGUCCCGUGCCCGAAGGAGGGGUUCGUCCGCGCUGAGAUCCAGUCCACUAAAGGUGAAGAGGUCACCGUCAAGGUUGACUCUAACAAUGACAUCAAGACGUUCAAGAAGGACGAUGUGCAGCAGGUGAAUCCGCCCAAGUUCGAGAUGACGGACGACAUGGCCAACAUGACCUACCUGAACGAAGCUUCCGUCCUUAAUAACCUCAGGACCAGAUACUUCUCGGGAUACAUCUAUACGUAUUCUGGCCUGUUUUGUGUGGCGGUGAACCCGUACCGCCGGCUGCCAAUCUAUCUUGACUCCAUCAUUGCCAAGUACCGCGGAAAGAGGAAGCUGGAGAUGCCGCCCCAUCUCUUCUCCGUUGCCGACAACGCCUACCAGUACAUGUUGCAGGAUCGUGAAAACCAGUCCAUGCUGAUCACCGGCGAAAGCGGUGCUGGAAAAACAGAGAGCACGAAGAAAGUGAUUAAAUAUUUUGCCAUUGUGGCGGCUAACAUCUACAAAAAACACCAAGGGGAAAACCCACCAUCUAUUGACUCUAAAAUCCAGGACACCCCGUACGCUCGCAAUCUAGAGGACCAAAUUAUCCAAGCCAACCCGGUUUUGGAAGCCUUCGGGAACGCAAAGACAAUCCGAAAUAACAACUCAUCCAGAUUCGGUAAAUUCAUCCGGAUCCACUUCGGACCCACGGGAAAGAUCGCCGGAGCUGACAUCGAGACAUAUCUACUGGAGAAAUCUCGCGUCACGUUCCAGCAAUCGGCGGAGAGAAACUACCACAUUUUCUACCAGAUGCUCUCACCCGCAUGUCCCAAGUACCACGAGACGUGCCUCGUGAGCCCCGACCCGGGUCUCUACAAUUUCAUCAACCAGGGCGUGCUUACCGUCGACGGAAUCGACGACGUCGAGGAAAUGAAGCUCACCGACGAAGCCUUUGACGUCCUGGGCUUCACGAACGAGGAGAAGACGAGCAUGUUCAAGUGCACUUCGGCCAUCAUCCACUUCGGAGAGAUGAAGUUUAAGCAGAGGCCCAGGGAGGAGCAGGCUGAGCCCGAUGGAACAGCAGAGGCUGAGAAGGUCGCCUUCCUGCUGGGCGUGAACGCAGGUGACCUCCUUAAGGGAUUUUUGAAGCCGAAGAUCAAGGUUGGCAACGAGUACGUCACCCAGGGCCGUAACAAGGACCAGGUCGUAUACUCCGUCAGCGCCCUUGCCAAGUCCCUGUACGACCGUAUGUUCGGCUGGCUGGUCAGGAGAAUCAACAAGACUCUCGACACUAAGGCCAAGAGAAACUACUUCAUUGGUGUGUUGGACAUCGCCGGUUUCGAAAUCUUUGACUUCAACAGUUUUGAGCAGUUGUGCAUCAAUUACACCAAUGAGCGCCUGCAGCAGUUCUUCAACCACCACAUGUUCAUUCUGGAACAGGAGGAGUACAAGAAGGAAGGCAUCCAGUGGGAGUUCAUCGACUUCGGCAUGGAUCUCCAGGCCUGUAUCGACCUCAUCGAGAAGCCUAUGGGUAUCCUGUCCAUCCUAGAGGAGGAGUGCAUGUUCCCGAAGGCUUCGGACAAGACGUUCCUGGAGAAGAUGUACAACAACCAUCUGGGCAAGUCCCCCAACUUCCAGAAACCAGUCAGGAGCAGGAAGGGUGGCGCAGAUGCCCACUUUGAGCUCUGCCACUACGCAGGAGCUGUGCCGUACAACACCAGCGGGUGGCUGGACAAGAACAAGGAUCCCCUGAACGAGACGGUGGUCGCUCUCCUCGAGCAGUCCAAGGAGGCCCUUGUCCAGACACUCUUCCACACUCAAGCAGUGGAUCCAGACGCUGCCCAUAAAAAGAAGAAAUCCUCGGCUUUCCAAACGAUUUCCGCUACGCAUAAAGAGUCCCUGAACAAACUCAUGAAGAACCUGUAUACCACUCAUCCCCACUUUGUACGUUGUAUUAUCCCCAACGAGACAAAGACGCCAGGAGUGAUUGACGCACCCCUGGUGUUGAACCAGCUCCAAUGUAACGGUGUGCUGGAGGGUAUCCGUAUCUGCAGGAAGGGAUUCCCCAACAGGAUCAUCUACUCUGAGUUCAAACAGAGAUACUCAAUCCUUGCCCCUAACGCGAUCCCCCAAGGGUUCGUGGACGGGAAGGUAGUGACUGAGAAGAUCCUGACGGCCCUCCAAAUGGACCCUAACGAGUACCGGCUCGGCUCCACCAAAGUCUUCUUCAAGGCCGGUGUGCUCGGUAUGCUUGAGGACAUGAGGGACGAGCGCCUCUCCAAGAUCAUCUCCCUCUUCCAGGCGCACAUCCGGGGCUACCUGAUGCGCAGACAGUACAAAAAACUCCAGGACCAGAGAAUCGGUCUGUCGGUGAUCCAGAGGAACAUCCGAAAAUGGUUGGUGCUAAGGAACUGGCAGUGGUGGAAACUGUACACAAAGGUGAAGCCUCUGCUGAACAUCGCCCGCGCCGAGGAUGAUAUGAAGAAGAAGGAAGAAGAACUUGAGAAAACCAAGGCUGAGCUUGCCAAGGUGGAGAAGAUCAAAAAAGAGUUGGAGGAACAGAAUGUGACAUUGCUGCAACAGAAGAACGACAUGUACCUUCAGCUGCAGGCGGAGCAGGACACGCUGAUUGACGCCGAAGAGAAGAUUGAAAGACUUAUCAAACAGAAGGCUGACUUUGAAUCGCAGAUGAAGGAGUUGGAGGAGAGACUUCUGGAUGAGGAGGAUGCUGCUGCUGAGCUGGAAGCACUCAAGAAAAAGAUGGAGAGUGAGAACUCUGAUCUUAAGAAAGAUCUUGAGGACUUAGAGACCUCUCUGGCCAAGGCAGAAUCAGAAAAGAGCACGAAGGACAACCAGAUCCGGACUCUGCAAGAUGAGAUGGCACAGCAGGAUGAGCAGAUCUCAAAGCUGAACAAGGACAAGAAGAACAUGGACGAGAACCUGAGGAAGACUCAGGAAUCCCUGCAGGCCGAGGAGGACAAGGUCAACCACCUCACCAAACUCAAGGGCAAGCUCGAAGCUACUCUCGACGAGCUUGAGGACAACCUUGAGCGCGAGAAGAAGGUCCGGGCUGACGUUGAGAAAGCGAGAAAGAAGGUAGAGCAGGAACUCAAGCAGACACAAGAGACCGUCGAGGACCUAGAGCGGGUCAAAAGGGAUCUCGAGGAAAACGUCCGCAGGAAGGACGUCGAGAUGAAGAACCUGCACUCUAAGCUGGAGGACGAGCAGAGUCUGGUCGCCCAGCUGCAGAGAAAGAUCAAAGAACUACUGGCCCGUAUCGAGGAGCUCGAGGAGGAACUAGAAGCCGAGAGGGCCGCCAGGGCUAAGGUUGAGAAGCAGAGGGCUGAGCUGAACCGUGAGCUCGAGGAGCUCAGCGAGCGUCUGGAUGAGGCCGGAGGCGCCACAACCGCUCAGAUGGAGCUUAACAAGAAGCGCGAACAGGAGCUCCUCAAGCUCCGCCGCGACCUUGAAGAAACGAGUCUGGCUCACGAGGCGCAGAUUUCCGCCCUGAGGAAAAAGGCCCAGGACGCUUCCAACGAGAUGGCGGACCAGGUCGACCAGCUCCAAAAGAUCAAAACUAGGGUGGAGAAGGAGAAGCAGCAGCUCAAGGGCGAGAUUGACGAUCUGCACGCGCAGGUCGAGCACGCCGGCAAAAACAGGGGUAUGUCAGAGAAGAUGUCAAAGCAGGUUGAGGCCCAGAUCGCCGAACUAACCUCACGUCUGGAGGAGAGUGCGCGUACCAUCCAGGAGCUGCAGAGCUCAAAGGCGCGCCUGCAGAAUGAGAACGGCGAGCAGAUGCGGCAGCUGGAGGAAGCGGAGAGCAAGGUAUCCCAGCUCACCAAGGAACGACAGAACCUCCUCUCACAGCUCGAGGACGCCAAGAGGGCACUCGAGGAUGAAUCCAGGGCCCGCCAGAAGCUGCAGAGCGAGAUCCGCAACCUACAGGCGGACAUCGACAGCCUCAGGGAGCAGUUGGAAGAAGAACAGGAGUCCAAGUCAGACGUGCUCCGCCAGCUGUCACGUGCCAACGCCGAGGCACAACAAUGGCGCGCCAAGUACGAAGGCGAGGGCAUGGCGCGUGCCGAGGAGCUCGAAGAUGCCAAGAGGAAGCUCCAGGCCAAACUGCAGGAGGCUGAACAGUCGGCUGAGGCCGCCAACGGCAAGGUCAGUCAGCUAGAGAAGACUAAAUCCAGACUGCAAGGCGAGCUGGAAGACCUCAUGGUGGACGUUGAACGCUCUAACGCUAACGCCAACAAUCUGGAGAAGAAGCAGAGGAACUUCGACAAGACGAUCGCGGAAUGGGAGGCAAAGGUGAGGGACCUGCAGAGUGAACUGGAGAACGCACAGAAGGAGGCCCGCAGCUACUCGGCGGAGCUAUAUCGCACCAAAGCCGCCCAGGAGGAGUCCAAUGACACAAUUGAAUCCCUGAAGCGCGAAAACAAGAACCUAGCUGAUGAGAUCCAUGAACUUGCCGACCAACUCACGGAGGGCGGCCGAAGUGUACAUGAGGUUGAGAAAAUCCGCCGUCGCUUGGAGAUGGAAAAGGAGGAACUGCAGGCCGCCCUCGAGGAGGCUGAAUCAGCCCUUGAGCAGGAGGAGGCUAAAGUCGCCCGCUCCCAGCUCGAGAUCGCCGUUAUCAGACAGGAAAUAGACAGAAGGAUCGCUGAGAAGGAAGAGGAGUUUGAUAACACGCGCCGUAACCACCAGAGGGCCCUCGACUCCAUGAACGCUAGUUUAGAGGCUGAGGCCAAGGGCAAGGCAGAAGCGCUCAGGAUCCGCAAGAAGCUUGAGCAGGACAUAAAUGAGCUCGAGGUUGCUCUUGACGCAGCGAACCGCAUCCGCGCCGACAUGGAAAAGGCUAACAAACGAAUGCAAGAGCAAUGCAGGGAGAUGCAGACAGCCAUUGAGGACGAACAGCGAAACACCAGCGAGGCCCGUGAGGCGUACGGCAUGGCCGAGCGUCGGGUUGCUGUCGUGCAGGGAGAAUGCGAGGAGCUUCGGUCCGCACUCGAAUCCGCGGAGAGAUCUCGCAAGGCUGCUGAGAAUGAACUUAUUGACACUAACGACCGUGUCAACGAACUUUCCGCCCAGGUUCAGGCCUUGGGUAGUCAGAAGAGGAAGUUAGAGGGUGACAUCGGCGCAAUGCAGGGAGACCUGGAGGAGAUGGGCAACGAGGUGAGAGGCGCCGAUGACAGAGCCAAGAAGGCAAUUGCGGACGCCGCGCGCCUGGCGGACGAGCUGCGCGCUGAGCAGGACCAUGGCCAGCAGGUGGAGAAGAUGCGAAAGGCCCUGGAAGCCCAGAUCAAGGACCUCACCGUCCGCCUGGACGAGGCUGAGUCACAGGCACUCAAGGGUGGCAAGAAGAUGAUCGCCAAACUCGAACAGAGGGUGCGUGAACUAGAGUCCGAGUACGACAACGAACAGAGACGCCACGCUGAAACACAGAAGAACAUGCGCAAGGCCGACCGUCGCAUGAAGGAACUCGCCUUCCAGGCGGACGAGGACCGGAAGAACCAGGAACGUCUCCAGGAACUCAUCGACAAACUCCAGAACAAAAUCAAGACGUACAAGCGCCAAGUCGAAGAAGCGGAGGAGGUUGCGGCCAUUAAUCUGGCCAAGUACCGGAAGGUGCAGAACGAGUUGGAGGACGCCGAGGAGCGCGCGGACAGCGCCGAGAACGCUCUUCAGAAACUGCGCGUGAAAAACCGCAGCUCUAUCUCCGUCUCACGCACCAGCGCCUCGCCCGCGGGACCCGCGGCGGCACCCGCCACGCCUUUAGCGGCGGCCAUGGCUAAAGCCGAGAGGUUGCGACGUGACAGAGAAUCCUCCAUGAACUAAACCACCUCCGUCUUAUCCCGUGUAUCAUAUCAGAUUUAUAUAGGUACACUAGCAGAUGGCUGGCGCUAGUCACUGUCUGGCUGGAACCCUUUCACCAUACUACCGCAGUUCUGUUAGUAGAGCCUCGCAGCUGAACUCUUCUUAUCGCUCGUCCAUUGGGGGUGAUGAUGACGACUUUUAAAUUCGUCAGCGAUUGUAUACUGUGCUGUUCGAUGACGACGUCUUUUAUAUUCGAUAAUAGUAUAGACUGUGUUAUUGUAAUAACGGAGAAUGUUUGAAUGCUUUGAUGUUUUUGCUAGAUACUUUAAGCUGCCAUAGCAUAAGGAAAUAGUGUGCACAUUCUCUUGUAUCCAUAAAGAUUUGCGGCAAUAUUAUUUAUUAAAUAUUUCAUGACAUGAGACAAAUCAAAAGUGUGACGUGUUCGGUGCCUUUUGUCGCUACGCUAUUGGCUGAAUAACCAAGACAACACAACCCGGUAAAAUUAUCAUAUAUAAGGUGUUGGAAAUGCUGCCUUUCUGAUUUGAUCUUAUGUGGAGAGUGGAUGAUCUUUAAAUGUGUUGUUGUUUUAGGAGAUAUCUCUUUCUGAAAUAUAUUUAUUUGCAAAUCUAUUGUAACUUAUCAUGUAUGUAUAUAUGUUUACAUACACAAGAUAUCGUUUGUUUAAAAGGCUUCAAAUUGGCCACAGGAUGCCCCUGGUGACUGUUUUCCCCGGAACAUUCACCAGGGGAGUAUAAUGACCCCUCAGUGGACGACAUCUUAGCUGUUUCUGGUGUGAUGCGUGUGACACUAUAUUUAUAUUGUAGUUCAGCAUGCAUGUCUUUGGUUCUGUUCUGAAUAAAUUAUUACAAGUUUACUCCAAUAAAUUCAUUGAGAUUGUAA
Molecule: RNA transcript, 6899 nt
Organism: Mya arenaria
Lineage: Eukaryota; Metazoa; Mollusca; Bivalvia; Myida; Myidae
Gene name: myosin heavy chain, striated muscle-like
Exons: 32
Source: RefSeq, a predicted model, not a curated record